RNAcentral lists this ribosomal RNA (253 nucleotides) under uncultured bacterium. RNAcentral describes it as "partial 16S ribosomal RNA". It matches the Rfam family "Bacterial small subunit ribosomal RNA", at positions 524 to 776 of the family's 1533-position model. RNAcentral also lists the same sequence under 1 other name. The record is from RNAcentral.
UACGGAGGGUGCAAGCGUUAAUCGGAAUUACUGGGCGUAAAGCGCUCGUAGGCGGUUUGUUAAGUCGGAUGUGAAAGCCCCGGGCUCAACCUGGGAACUGCAUUCGAUACUGGCAAACUAGAGUAUAGAAGAGGCAAGUGGAAUUCCGGGUGUAGCGGUGAAAUGCGUAGAUAUCCGGAGGAACAUCAGUGGCGAAGGCGACUUGCUGGUCUAAUACUGACGCUGAGGAGCGAAAGCGUGGGGAGCAAACGGG